Molecule: long non-coding RNA, 563 nt
Filed under: Prunus persica (peach)
Lineage: Eukaryota; Viridiplantae; Streptophyta; Magnoliopsida; Rosales; Rosaceae
Description: long non-coding RNA (PPER_LNC005510)
Source: RNAcentral
UCUUGUGGGGCUCUUGUUGCAGUCACGUUUGUGGUAUGGAUUGAAGACAAUAAAGGCUGGCAAUGGGGCUUUGGGAUUUCCACUGCAACAAUACUGAUCUCCAUCCCACUCUUCCUCCUAGGCUCUCCUAAAUACAGGACCAAAAUUCCUGCAGGAAGUCCAAUUACAACUAUGUUUAAGGUAAAAUCAUUAUUAACAUAGAACAAUUUAAAUUUGAAUAGACUGAACCUGCGUAAACAAAACUCACCUCCUUUAUUUUUGAAUUGCGUCCCGCAGGUUAUUACUGCAGCAAUUUGCAAUGCCUGCAAAGCUAGAAAUCCUAGCAAUGCUGUCACCAACAUGGCCAUAACCCCAUCUUAUACAAAUGACCCUAGUGAGAGAGAAGAAAAGAUAAGUCAAACUCCAUCUGAGAGCCUCAAGUUCCUUAACAGAGCAGUGACUAUUAGACCAGUCCAUCCAAUGCUAAAAUGUACUGUAAAGCAAGUCGAAGAGGUGAAGAUAGUGUUAAAAAUUCUCCCUAUCCUUAUGUCUACCAUAAUGCUAAACUGCUGCCUAGCUCAACU